UUCUCCUUCGGGGACAUCCGAUAAAAUUGGAACGAUACAUAGAAGAUUAGCAUGGCCCCUGCGCAAGGAUGACACUAUUUUGUUUUUUUUCCUUCCCUUUUUC
This 103-nucleotide small nuclear RNA is filed under the name Nicotiana sylvestris (wood tobacco). The record is from RNAcentral. RNAcentral also lists the same sequence under 1 other name. Lineage: Eukaryota; Viridiplantae; Streptophyta; Magnoliopsida; Solanales; Solanaceae.